RNAcentral lists this microRNA precursor (126 nucleotides) under Myotis brandtii (Brandt's bat). RNAcentral describes it as "mir-9193 microRNA precursor family". It matches the Rfam family "mir-9193 microRNA precursor family". Lineage: Eukaryota; Metazoa; Chordata; Mammalia; Chiroptera; Vespertilionidae. The record is from Rfam by way of RNAcentral.
CAUGCGCCGGUGGGGUCCCUCGGCCUGGCCUGUGUCCUCUCACAAUCCGGGACCCCUUGGGGGAUGUCAGAGAGCCGGUUUUGGCUCAAUCCCACAGGCCAGGCCGAAGGACCCCACUGGUGCACA